AUCAGAUUCACAUGGAAUUUCUGUGCAAUUUAAAUGUUUAAAUAUGAAACUAUUUGUGAAAAGAUGAAAUGUAAUUUUAGCUUCCAAAUGAGAGAAUUGGGUUUUCAUAAGGUUAAAGCUCUGCUCCAUCAGUGGCCCGCCCCUGUGAAGAGACAUUGGUUAUAAACUAUGAAACACACCCUUCUCUCCCUCCACUAUAUAAGCCCUUUACGAAAAUAUAACUUUCUGUUCCGGGUACAUUAGGGCGACGGUCCGAUGUCAGAAGGAUUCAGAUAAUAAGCUGUUCCGAGGACGUGAGGACGACGGUCCCACAUUUAAAGGACUAACAUGUCAACUACAGAAUUAAGCCAUGAACUUUGAACUCUUAUUCACUACAGAAGUGAUACCUCCUACCCGUUGAGUUAGCAGCGGCCACUGUAAACGUGGGCUAGGAAAGGACGGACGACGGAUCCAGUCUAACACACAACGACGAUACUACAACGCAUCCAGUUUACCACCAGAGACAUUCUUCCGAGAACAGGAAGAUCUCUGUUGGGCAACACGGCCUUCCAUCUACAACCAACCUAUUGAGGCGCAGCUCAGAAAAUGGGACGUUUCUCUCCAGGAAGCAGAUUCACCAGGCCUAUGACAUCAUUCACCACCAACUAUUCCUGUCCGGAGUGACCUUAGGUAGGGUUUAGGAGAAAGUGACUGGUAGCUGGAUAAAUAAUAAUAAUAGUAAUAAUAAUCAACAACAUGGCAGCAGCAUAAGUGGUGUGUGGGUGUGUGAGUGUGUGGUGGUGAGCUUGUGUACAGUGUACAGUAUGUGAGUGUAAGUGUGUGGGUGUUAGUGUGAGUGUGUGAGUGUGAGUGUUAGUAUGAGUGUAUGAGUGGGUGAGUGUUUGUCAGUGUAGACUUGAUAGGCAGAUAUACUGUACAUGUAAACAGGGCUAUGUAAAAGGAAUAACCAGUCACCCGGCAUACUCUCUCUCUCUCUGUCUGACAUAACAUACCACAUUUUGUCAUGAAAGGAAUACCUGCAGCUCAAGUGGUUUCAACACACCAGCAGGGGGCACUCUUAGCUAUGGAAAUGC
Molecule: long non-coding RNA, 1073 nt
Filed under: Salmo salar (Atlantic salmon)
Lineage: Eukaryota; Metazoa; Chordata; Actinopteri; Salmoniformes; Salmonidae
Description: lncRNA (ENSSSAG00000106975.1)
Source: RNAcentral